GACGAACGCUGGCGGCGUGCUUAAUACAUGCAAGUCAACUGAGCUUAAGAUAGCAAUAUUUUAAGUGCGGUGGCGCACGGGUGAGUAACACGUAGGUAAUCUGCCUUUAGGUCUGACAUAAUCCCGCGAAAGCGGGACUAAAAUCAGAUGAUGCGGCGGCUCGACAUCGAGACAGUUGUUAAACCUUCGGGGCCUAAAGAUGAGCCUGCGUCUGAUUAGGUAGUGGCGGGGUAAAGGCCCACCAAGCCUGCGAUCAGUAGCUGGUCUGAGAGGAUGAUCAGCCACACUGGAACUGAGACACGGCCCAGACUCCUACGGGAGGCAGCAGUGGGGAAUCUUGCGCAAUGGGCGAAAGCCUGACGCAGCGACGCCGCGUGAGGGAUGACGGCCU
Molecule: ribosomal RNA, 391 nt
Filed under: uncultured bacterium
Lineage: Bacteria
Description: bacterial SSU rRNA
Rfam family: Bacterial small subunit ribosomal RNA
Source: RNAcentral